UAGGGAAUAUUGGUAAUGUGCGAAAGCGCGAACCAGCAACGCCGCGUGCACGAUGAAGGCCUUCGGGUUGUAAAGUGCUUUUAGAGAGGAUGAGGAAGGACAGUACUUUCUGAAUAAGCCUCGGCUAACUACGUGCCAGCAGCCGCGGUAAAACGUAGGAGGCUAGCGUUAUCCGGAUUUACUGGGCGUAAAGCGCGUGCAGGUGGUUUCGUAAGUUGGAUGUGAAAGCUCCUGGCUUAACUGGGAGAGGUCGUUCAAAACUGCGAGGCUUGAGAGUGGUAGAGGGAGGUGGAAUUCCGGGUGUAGUGGUGAAAUGCGUAGAUAUCCGGAGGAACACCAGUGGCGAAGGCGACCUUCUGGGAUGUUCCUGACGCUCAGACGCGAAGGCUAGGGUAGCAAACG
Molecule: ribosomal RNA, 402 nt
Filed under: uncultured bacterium
Lineage: Bacteria
Description: bacterial SSU rRNA
Rfam family: Bacterial small subunit ribosomal RNA
Source: RNAcentral